AUUGAACGCUGGCGGCAUGCUUUACACAUGCAAGUCGAACGGUAACAGGCCUUCGGGUGCUGACGAGUGGCGAACGGGUGAGUAAUGCAUCGGAACGUGCCCAAUCGUGGGGGAUAACGUAGCGAAAGUUACGCUAAUACCGCAUAAGCCCUGAGGGGGAAAGUGGGGGACCGCAAGGCCUCACGCGAAUGGAGCGGCCGAUGUCAGAUUAGCUAGUUGGUGGGGUAAAGGCCCACCAAGGCGACGAUCUGUAGCGGGUCUGAGAGGAUGAUCCGCCACACUGGGACUGAGACACGGCCCAGACUCCUACGGGAGGCAGCAGUGGGGAAUUUUGGACAAUGGGCGCAAGCCUGAUCCAGCAAUGCCGCGUGCAGGACGAAGGCCUCGGUUGUAACUGCUUUGUACGGUACGAAAGACCUUCUUCUAAUACAGGAGGGUCGAUGACGGUACCGUAAGAAUAAG
This 462-nucleotide ribosomal RNA is filed under the name uncultured bacterium. RNAcentral's name for it is "bacterial SSU rRNA". It matches the Rfam family "Bacterial small subunit ribosomal RNA", at positions 30 to 490 of the family's 1533-position model. The record is from RNAcentral.